Molecule: unclassified non-coding RNA, 852 nt
Filed under: Hevea brasiliensis (rubber tree)
Lineage: Eukaryota; Viridiplantae; Streptophyta; Magnoliopsida; Malpighiales; Euphorbiaceae
Source: RNAcentral
CAGGAGGCUCUGGAAGAGGGCUAGAGGCAUCCAGUUGUGCAUCAUGAGUGUCCUCGGAUGAUAUGGGAGCAUUAUGUUGCUGGUAUACAUUCUCAGAUGAGAUGGGAGGUGGAUGUUGCUGGUAAAUGAUUUCCUCAUCAAUGAACUGGAAGAUAUCAUUAAGAACAAAGUAGCCCUUCUCCUGGGGAGCCAGGAAAAAGGUCUGCAUAAAUUUUCCCCUGCCACUGAAAUCCUUGUUUUUAACAGAACCAGAUAUCAUCACCAAAACACCCCCGUUCCAAGAUUCAAGAGAAUUGAUGGUCUUGACCUCAAUUGCAGUAAAAUUUAGGGACAUGACAAGAGUAUGGAUUUGCAGCAUUGUAGAAGCAGACUCGCUUGAAUCUCCAUCAACACGAAUCAUGGUGCUGGCAUCAGCGUAGAAUUGAUGAACAAGAUCAGGAUGUUGUUGAAGAACCUGAUAGUACUGUCCUACAAAGUAAGACCCCACCUGAACAGCACUAACAGGUCCUGGAUACGGACUAGCCAUUAUUUAAGCAAAACAAAAUUUCGCUUUUGCUGCCACAAAAGCGCGCAGCCAAGGAGAUCAAAGAUUCAAAAUAGCAGUCUUAGCUUGGUGGAGAUGAAGAUGAUGAUGGGGCCGCAGAUCCAACGGUGUGUUUCUUUAAACCCCGAGAAUUAGGGUUUAUGAUAAAUCUUGGGUUUUUGUAUUUAAACAAAACAAAACCGAUACUUUUAGAUUCUCACACGCACACACAGCGAGCUGGAGAGGAAGAGAGGGAUAAGAUCAUAAGAUAUGACUGCGAGAGAGGGUUUUACGCAGAGAGAGAUGCAAAGGAAGAUGAUAGAUCUAUG